Molecule: ribosomal RNA, 253 nt
Filed under: uncultured bacterium
Lineage: Bacteria
Description: partial 16S ribosomal RNA
Rfam family: Bacterial small subunit ribosomal RNA
Source: RNAcentral
UAGGGAAUCUUCGGCAAUGGGGGCAACCCUGACCGAGCAACGCCGCGUGAGUGAAGAAGGUUUUCGGAUCGUAAAGCUCUGUUGUAAGUCAAGAACGGGUGUGAGAGUGGAAAGUUCACACUGUGACGGUAGCUUACCAGAAAGGGACGGCUAACUACGUGCCAGCAGCCGCGGUAAUACGUAGGUCCCCGAGCGUUGUCCGGAUUUAUUGGGCGUAAAGCGAGCGCAGGCGGUUUGAUAAGUCUGAAGUUAA